GUGGGGAAUAUUGGGCAAUGGGGGAAACCCUGACCCAGCAACGCCGCGUGAAGGCAGAGGGUUUUCGGAUUGUAAACUUCUUUUAUCGGGGACGAAAAAAAUGACGGUACCCGAAGAAAAAGCCACGGCUAACUACGUGCCAGCAUCCGCGCUAAUACGUAGGUGGCAAGCGUUGUCCGGAUCUACUGGGUGUAAAGGGCGUGUAGGCGGGACUGCAAGUCAGAUGUGAAAUACCAAGGCUUAACCUUGGGGCUGAAUUUGGAACUGUAGUUCUUGAGUGAUGGAGAGGCAGGCGGAGUUCCAAGUGUAGGGGUGAAAUGCGUAGGUAUUAGGAGGAACACCAGUGGCGAAGGCGGCCUGCUGGACAUUAACUGACGCUGAGGCGCGAAAGCGUGGGGAGCAAACAGGGUUAAAUACCCUUGUAGUCC
RNAcentral lists this ribosomal RNA (428 nucleotides) under uncultured bacterium. RNAcentral's name for it is "partial 16S ribosomal RNA". It matches the Rfam family "Bacterial small subunit ribosomal RNA", at positions 354 to 796 of the family's 1533-position model. The record is from RNAcentral.